Molecule: unclassified non-coding RNA, 351 nt
Filed under: uncultured fungus
Lineage: Eukaryota; Fungi
Description: partial contains small subunit ribosomal RNA, internal transcribed spacer 1, and 5.8S ribosomal RNA
Rfam family: Eukaryotic small subunit ribosomal RNA (bases 1-73)
Source: RNAcentral
UCAAACUUGGUCAUUUAGAGGAAGUAAAAGUCGUAACAAGGUUUCCGUAGGUGAACCUGCGGAAGGAUCAUUACUGAAUUACUGGGAGGUUGUAGCUGGCUCCUCGGAGCAUGUGCACGCCUUUCAAAUUCAUCUUAACCACCUGUGCACUUUUGUAGACUGUGACAACCCUCAGUGCUUAUUAGCACUGGAUUGAGAGACUGCGUUAAGCUGUCUUUCAACGUCAUAGUCUACGUUUAUAUCACAUACUAAAGUCUUAGAAUGUUUGUUGUUGGGUCUUGACGACCUAUAAAACUAAAUACAACUUUCAACAACGGAUCUCUUGGCUCUCGCAUCGAUGAAGAACGCAGC